RNAcentral lists this ribosomal RNA (467 nucleotides) under uncultured bacterium. RNAcentral describes it as "partial 16S ribosomal RNA". It matches the Rfam family "Bacterial small subunit ribosomal RNA", at positions 28 to 507 of the family's 1533-position model. The record is from RNAcentral.
GAUGAACGCUGGCGGCGUGCUUAACACAUGCAAGUCGAACGGAAAGGCCCAAGCUUGCUUGGGUACUCGAGUGGCGAACGGGUGAGUAACACGUGGGUGAUCUGCCCUGCACUUCGGGAUAAGCCUGGGAAACUGGGUCUAAUACCGGAUAGGACCACUUCUUGGAUGUUGUGGUGGAAAGUUUUUUCGGUGUGGGAUGAGCUCGCGGCCUAUCAGCUUGUUGGUGGGGUAAUGGCCUACCAAGGCGUCGACGGGUAGCCGGCCUGAGAGGGUGUACGGCCACAUUGGGACUGAGGUACGGCCCAGACUCCUACGGGAGGCAGCAGUGGGGAAUAUUGCACAAUGGGCGCAAGCCUGAUGCAGCGACGCCGCGUGGGGGAUGACGGCCUUCGGGUUGUAAACUCCUUUCGCUAGGGACGAAGCGUUUUGUGACGGUACCUGGAGAAGAAGCACCGGCUAACUACGUG